Molecule: non-coding RNA, 4685 nt
Organism: Phalacrocorax carbo (great cormorant)
Lineage: Eukaryota; Metazoa; Chordata; Aves; Suliformes; Phalacrocoracidae
Source: RefSeq, a predicted model, not a curated record
AAUACCACCUCAGAAACUCAGUCCUGACACUGAAGCUGUGGGCCACACACACCCCACAUAUAAAUACACCAGAAGAGUUAAUAGCCUGGUGAUGAGGCAUGCAAUGGGAGGCAGAAGGCUCACACCGAAGCCCUUCUUCCAUUGACCUCAUGCCACCGGUCUGUCUUCUAGGGCUGCGUGAAAACUGCCUGAAUACAAAGUAUAAAGUGGGAAAUACUCACACUGUACAUGGAGAUUCAAACUAUGAAGGUAUUUUAGGGACCUUUCUCUUUCAUUUUGAAUCAAUAUUUUAUUCUGGACCUAAGAAGUCAUUUCUUUCUGGACAUUUUAUCAAAAGUGAGCCAUUCCCAUGAAAGUUUCCAUUUCUAUAAAUUAACAUUUCUUCUAGUAUGGAGUGAACUUCCAUUUUGCACUGCUUUGUAGAAUUAUGCAACUCUUUGCCAUAAAGAGUCUUUGUCAGCUGGGGUCCCAGUCUGGUGUUGAGGGAGAUGACACAUUCUUGUAGAUAUGAUACUUGGACUCAGAAAGUUUUGGCUUACGAAGCAUUUGGUUCAUUUUCAGACUGUUGAGGGACUGGGGCUAGUUCACUUCCCUUUUCCUCAUACUGUCCUCCUUGAAAAAUGAGAGUGCUGGUACUGAUCUUAUUCUUAUUGUGCUUCAGAAUGUACAGAUGGAAAUGCUAUAAGUGUAUUUUAUGUAUAUGCUUUAUGCAUAUUCUAAGGCAACAUUCUGUAUCAGCAAGAUUCAAAGAUUGGGCUUUUCUAAGCAUUUAAUUUGAUUGGCACUCUUGAAUAACUGGACCAUGUAGAUGAGGUACAUUAUAAUGUCUUUGUGCUGGAAGCAAGAACUUGAUCCAUAGGAGUGCAUCACCUAUGGGUCCUUUACGUUUUGCUUGGAAAAUGGCAUAGUUUAUCCUGAAACCAGUCCUGUGUUACUGAGUAGGCAUCUGAUCUGAGACAUCCCUGUUGACUGCAGCCUGCCCUCUAGAUUCGUAGAACAGUUACAUGUCCAGUCCAUGAAUAUGGUCAGGCUAUUCUGUCUUCACUCAUAGUUUUGUAGUUGUCUUUGUUUGCUAUUGUGAAGUGCAGCUUUGGCUGCUGUGAAUGGGGGCGGUGUGUCCUGUCAGUUUACAUCAACUGAUGAUUUUGCCUAAUGAUUUCCCUCUCCCUACUCUUUUCCUCGGGGUGACACCUUAUGGGUGGUGUUGACUCCAGAGCAGUUGCCCCACGUUAACACAUAAGGCUUUAUGCAGGCAUUGGGCAGUGAACUAUGCUAUCCUUUCAAGAUACAGUGUUGUUUUACCUAUUUAUGUCUCUUCCUGAAAUUGUGAGCAUGUCCACCUAUCUAAUAAAAAAAACAAAAAGAUGGCUCUUUCGUAUGCUGGUGAAAAGCUUUUCAUAUAUUUAUGUUAAAGUAACAUAAUUCAGUUUAUCGUAAACAUGUAAAAACCAUCGGGUUUGGUUAUUUUUCAUGUUAAUGUCUAAAUCGAUGUUCUGUCUCUCAUUAUAAUUUUUGUUUAUGUGUUUGUUCUCUCCAGACACAGGUACUGUAGUUUUUAGGUAUCAAUUAAUCUUUAUUCCUCUCUCACAAACAAAAAUCAUGUUACUAUGAUAUCCUGCAGCUCUCUGUUGUUUACAUAGUAUUAGCACAGGGAAAUACUACUUUCAGUUUGAUACAUAAUGCCCUCCUUGUCUCUUGUGCCUUUUGUCUGUAGGCUAUUAUGCAUGUGAGUAAAACCAUGCAUGACUUGAGCAAAUGUUUGAAUAGGGUUCUUGUGCAGUAGGGCUGUAUAAGCCAUUAGGCAUACUCUCUUUAACUUGGUGAUGAAAACAUCGUGGUACAUUUGGUGGCACAAAAUAGAGUAAAAUUGCUUUUGUGGCAGCAGAAUAAAUAGCAUUCUAAUUUGGUUUUGUUAUUGUGUACGUGCAUGUGCUUCAUACUUCUGGCAAAACUAUCAAGCAGGACCAAGCAUGAAACAUGUUAAGGUUAUUAGAGUUGUGGAGUGAAAGCUGAGCUGGAAAGAGAAAAAAACUGUAUUGCUUUUUUCAUUUUGAAAUUUGAAAUCAAUGUUAUUCUGUAAUGUUUGUGCUCUGAGCCCUGAAAUCUGUUAAUAGGCACGUGAGGCUGUCGCUAACCAUCUUUUCUAUGUAUAAAGCCUUUUGUAAGAAUAUUGGUUUUCUUUUCUCUAUAUAUGUGCUGAAUACUAUGACAGGGACUUGAAUUUUUGCUGUGGGAAUGUGAAAAACAUGGGAAGCCGCUCUCUGCCAAGCUAUUUCCUUAAGGAUCCACUUUACAUACUGCCAGAUCAAUGACUUGUCAGGUGUAGUUAUGUGCCAUAGCAAUGAUCUGAGGUCAAUGAGAUGAAACCAAGAUAUUAUGAAGUUGUCUGUUGAUUUUCUGAGCUGCAAGACCAGUGCUGAAUCAUUUCAACAACUGUACUUUAUGUUUCAAAAACAUGUAAAAAAAUUACAGUUCUUCGAACAGAAGAAGCAGAGAUCUGGUUCCACAAUGGAGCACUGGAAAAAUAACACAAAGGUGGGAUGUAAGACGAUAGCCUCAUCCUUUAAUGGGGGAACAUUUGUGGCUAACUUAUAAAGUUGAUACACAAUUUGAGGAAACGAGCAUCCCACCCAUUUUUCUUUGUGUGUUCCAUAGAAUUCACAUCCUUCCAUUUUUGUUUUUUGUUUCCUUGAAUUGUGCCUCAUAACUUAUUGUCAUUGCUCAUUAGCUGUUGAUGUGUUAGGAGGGUUGUCCAGACAGUGACACUGCAUGGAAAUAGCUGAGUAGUUCAGAAAACAGAUUCAUAAUUCACGAUGACCUUUAAUGAAAUGCAAAUCUAAAGAAAGCUGCUUUCAGUUUACCACAUCUGAAACAAAAUGAGAACUAUUAUUUUCUUUAGUCUUUGCUGUCAUGAUAUAUAGAUACUCUAACGCAGAGGAAACAUAUCUUAGCAUGCAAGCCUGCUUUUAUCAUUCUUUUGGUGAAUGGGAUGUAUCCUUUGAACUCUUUUCCUUCUGACCAUCAGAUUUAGGGCCUGGUUGAUCAGCUCUCAGCCAGGGCUGCUACAUGGUUUGACAGGCAAUCCUGGGAGCCACAACGUGUUUCCAUCUUACCCCAUUCGCCUGGAAGGGAAGCGCUCUGUGUAGCUCUGAAUGCAGGACUGUUUGUAUCUUCCCUUUCUAACUCCUCCCUGUUUUCCCAACAGCAGCAAGAAAAUACCAGAUCCAGACUCCUUUCUCCAUCCUACCAUGCCAGAGCCACACCACUGUAGCAGUUUGGGUUGCUCCAAACCAGCUGGCAAAGAAAAGUAUCCAUAUGACAGCCGUGCGGGAUGGCAAGGCGGGGGUGGGGGCUGGAGAGGACUACACUCUCCAGGGUAGCUGCGUUUGGGCAAGCUGCAAUCUGGUCCUCAGCAUGCACCUGCCUGCAGCAAGGGUCUGACAGCAUCACUGCCAAGGGAGAGCCCGCAGGAGGGCAGAAAGCACUGGGGGCCACAUCCUCAGCUGCUGCUCUGCUCCAGCAGGGCAAUGAAAGCCAGUCCUGCUUUCAUCAGGUGAGGAACCAAGCCCAAAGGCUAACUCAGUGAAUUUUUCCCCAAUCCAGUUUAUCAGAGGGUGAAAUUAGCCUCUCCCCGCAGACAAACAUACUGCCAAGACCGAGCACUUGCCUCUCCAGAGCACAUGCCUCUCCUGGAGCCUUUCUCUCCACUCCCAGGGCUGCUCAGUGCCCUACCCUCUGCAGCUUCAUGCUACUCAGCUGUGUUUUCCUUCUCCAAACCCCUGUAGAGAGGGGUUGUGCUGGCUGCUCACCUCUCUGCAGAAGACACUGCACCCUGCCCUGCCCUCCCUGAGGUGGAUUUUGUCCAGGUGCUGUAGCCCAAACGACAGCUUGUGGGGAUACUGGGGCAAAACACUGCCUGUCAGGCCUAUCAAGGGACUCUGUUUUACACAUUUGGCCCUGAAUGGGGAAUAAAUGUUCAUCAAAGUGACAAAAGAGGUGCUAUCCUAUUGCCUUACACAGAUGGGAAACCUACUUGCUUUGGCCAUAUUGCUUUUGAGCAAUUCCCCUAGUUCAUCUGCAUAAAAAUAUCUGUCCCAUGAGCCUUAGAUCUCCUAUGGGCAGCUCAUUUGGGACACUUCACAAAUCUGUCUGAUGGACACUUACUGUAUACAUCUGGCUUGCUCAUAUUUCUAAAACUGAGCAAAGGACUUCUUUAUUAGUGACUGUUCCCUCCACUUGCGUGGAACGGCGUUGGUUACCCAAGAAGGAAUGCCUGCCGUGCUGAAAAAUGGGGAAGAUAAUCGUCUGCAGCUUGAAAAUGGAGCUGUGUCACAGCACUUGUUCAGUCGCAUUACAAAUAAAGCCAGGAUGGCAGGAGUAGAGACAGACCAGAGUGUAUAAGAUAGUUUUAUGUUGAGUGAAAUUUAAGACCUACUACUGGAAAUAAAUGCUUCCUUCACAAUGCGGGAGCAAGGAAGGGAGAACAUAUUUUCUGAGCAAAUUGCAAAAGUUCAGGAAAUUCUUGGCUCACCAUUUGUUCCAAGUGAUUUAAAAGAGAAGGAAGAGACUCUAUCCAGCAUAAAUCAUAUUUUAAAGAAUUUCCCAAUAUUGCUUCCUGUCUUUGUGCUUGGGCAGCAGAUUGUGUACAGAAAUAAACCAAAUUUGCUUUAUCUUUUCAGAAGAAA